GACGAACGCUGGCGGCGUGCUUAACACAUGCAAGUCGAGCGGUAAGGCCCUUUCGGGGGUACACGAGCGGCGAACGGGUGAGUAACACGUGGGUGACCUGCCCUCAGCUCUGGGAUAAGCCUGGGAAACUGGGUCUAAUACUGGAUAUGACUCCACGGUGCAUGUCGUGGGGUGGAAAGCCUUGUGCGGCUGAGGAUGGGCCCGCGGCCUAUCAGCUUGUUGGUGGGGUGANGGCCUACCAAGGCGACGACGGGUAGCCAGCCUGAGAGGGCGACCGGCCACACUGGGACUGAGACACGGCCCAGACUCCUACGGGAGGCAGCAGUGGGGAAUCUUGCGCAAUGGGCGAAAGCCUGACGCAGCGACGCCGCGUGAGGGAUGACGGCCUCGG
This 391-nucleotide ribosomal RNA is filed under the name uncultured bacterium. RNAcentral describes it as "bacterial SSU rRNA". It matches the Rfam family "Bacterial small subunit ribosomal RNA", at positions 28 to 420 of the family's 1533-position model. The record is from RNAcentral.